GGAUGAACGCUGGCGGCGUGCCUAAUACAUGCAAGUCGAGCGAACAGACGAGGAGCUUGCUCCUCUGACGUUAGCGGCGGACGGGUGGGUAACACGUGGAUAACCUACCUAUAAGACUGGGAUAACUUCGGGAAACCGGAGCUAAUACCGGAUAAUAUAUUGAACCGCAUGGUUCAAUAGUGAAAGACGGUUUUGCUGUCACUUAUAGAUGGAUCCGCGCCGCAUUAGCUAGUUGGUAAGGUAACGGCUUACCAAGGCAACGAUGCGUAGCCGACCUGAGAGGGUGAUCGGCCACACUGGAACUGAGACACGGUCCAGACUCCUACGGGAGGCAGCAGUAGGGAAUCUUCCGCAAUGGGCGAAAGCCUGACGGAGCAACGCCGCGUGAGUGAUGAAGGUCUUCGGAUCGUAAAACUCUGUUAUUAGGGAAGAACAAAUGUGUAAGUAACUAUGCACGUCUUGACGGUACCUAAUCAGAAAGCCACGGCUAACUACGUG
Molecule: ribosomal RNA, 498 nt
Filed under: uncultured bacterium
Lineage: Bacteria
Description: partial 16S ribosomal RNA
Rfam family: Bacterial small subunit ribosomal RNA
Source: RNAcentral